UGGGGAAUUUUGCGCAAUGGGCGAAAGCCUGACGCAGCAACGCCGCGUGGAGGAUGAAGGUCUUUGGAUUGUAAACUCCUGUCAGCAGGGAAAAAGGGACUGGGCCUCAUACGUCCGGAACUUGAUUGUACCGGCAGAGGAAGCCCCGGCUAACUCUGUGCCAGCAGCCGCGGUAAUACAGAGGGGGCAAGCGUUGUUCGGAAUUACUGGGCGUAAAGGGCUCGUAGGCGGCCAACUAAGUCAUACGUGAAAUCCCUCAGCUUAACUGGGGAACUGCGUGUGAUACUGGAUGGCUUGGAUUUGGGAGAGGGAUGCGGAAUUCCAGGUGUAGCGGUGAAAUGCGUAGAUAUCUGGAGGAACACCGGUGGCGAAGGCGGCAUCCUGGACCAAUAUUGACGCUGAGGAGCGAAAGCCAGGGGAGCAAA
Molecule: ribosomal RNA, 425 nt
Filed under: uncultured bacterium
Lineage: Bacteria
Description: bacterial SSU rRNA
Rfam family: Bacterial small subunit ribosomal RNA
Source: RNAcentral